CCUACGGGUGGCAGCAGUGAGGAAUAUUGGUCAAUGGGCGCAAGCCUGAACCAGCCAAGUCGCGUGAGGGAUGACGGUCCUAUGGAUUGUAAACCUCUUUUGUCGGGGAGCAAGGCCCGCCACGUGUGGCGGGAAGGAGAGUACCCGAAGAACAAGCAUCGGCUAACUACGUGCCAGCAGCCGCGGUAAUACGUAGGGUGCGAGCGUUAAUCGGAAUUACUGGGCGUAAAGGGUGUGCAGGCGGCUACGUAAGACAGAUGUGAAAUCCCCGGGCUUAACCUGGGAACCGCAUGUGUGACUGCUUGGCGAGAGUGCGGCAGAGGGAGGUGGAAUUCCACGUGUAGCAGUGAAAUGCGGAGAUAUGAGGAAGAACACCGAUGGCGAAGGCAGCCUCCUGGGACGCGACUGACGCUCAUACACGAAAGCGUGGGGAGCAAACAGGAUUAGAUACCCUUGUAGUC
This 461-nucleotide ribosomal RNA is filed under the name uncultured bacterium. RNAcentral's name for it is "partial 16S ribosomal RNA". It matches the Rfam family "Bacterial small subunit ribosomal RNA", at positions 338 to 795 of the family's 1533-position model. The record is from RNAcentral.